CCCUCCGCAGAUAGGAUCAUUUCUAUAGUGUACAUCCUCUUUUGAAUUCUUUAAAAGAGCCACAUAUCCAAUCCUGGCUGAUGACUGGGCUGGUCUGCUCGUAUAACCUCGCUGCCACAGAGUGAAGCCGAUUUAUGUUACCCGUCGACUUCGGUCGAUGAGGUGGUGAUGAUCUCGACCCACUUGCUUGACUUUGUCUCCUCGGAGCGAAUGAUCGCACUUCGGGUUGGUGGCGAUGGUGGUCUGACAGGU
This 252-nucleotide small nucleolar RNA is filed under the name Drechslerella stenobrocha 248. RNAcentral's name for it is "Fungal small nucleolar RNA U3". It matches the Rfam family "Fungal small nucleolar RNA U3". Rfam says of the family: Small nucleolar RNAs (snoRNAs) are involved in the processing and modification of rRNA in the nucleolus. There are two main classes of snoRNAs: the box C/D class, and the box H/ACA class. Lineage: Eukaryota; Fungi; Ascomycota; Orbiliomycetes; Orbiliales; Orbiliaceae. The record is from Rfam by way of RNAcentral.